AUUGAACGCUGGCGGCAGGCCUAACACAUGCAAGUCGAGCGGAUGAAGGGAGCUUGCUCCUGUAUUCAGCGGCGGACGGGUGAGUAAUGCCUAGGAAUCUGCCUGGUAGUGGGGGAUAACGUCCGUAAACGGGCGCUAAUACCGCAUACGUCCUGAGGGAGAAAGUGGGGGAUCUUCGGACCUCACGCUAUCAGAUGAGCCUAGGUCGUAUUAGCUAGUUGGUGGGGUAAAGGCCUACCAAGGCGACGAUCCGUAACUGGCCUGAGAGGAUGAUCAGUCACACUGGAACUGAGACACGGUCCAGACUCCUACGGGAGGCAGCAGUGGGGAAUAUUGGACAAUGGGCGAAAGCCUGAUCCAGCCAUGCCGCGUGUGUGAAGAAGGUCUUCGGAUUGUAAAGCACUUUAAGUUGGGAGGAAGGGCAGUAAGUUAAUACCUUGCUGUUUUGACGUUACCAACAGAAUAAGCACCGGCUAACUUCGUG
RNAcentral lists this ribosomal RNA (484 nucleotides) under uncultured bacterium. RNAcentral describes it as "partial 16S ribosomal RNA". It matches the Rfam family "Bacterial small subunit ribosomal RNA", at positions 30 to 507 of the family's 1533-position model. The record is from RNAcentral.